Molecule: non-coding RNA, 29 nt
Filed under: Homo sapiens (human)
Lineage: Eukaryota; Metazoa; Chordata; Mammalia; Primates; Hominidae
Source: RNAcentral
GCUAACGAUGGGUGACGCUGGUGAAGUGG